AAGUCGUAACAAGGUCUCCGUUGGUGAACCAGCGGAGGGAUCAUUACCGAGUUUACAGCUCCCGAACCCAAAUGUGAACAUACCAAACGUUGCUUCGGCGGAACGCCCCGGCGUCCGGACGACCACUGGGAAGUCCGCGGCCCGGGCCCAGGCGGCCGCCGAGGAAAAACCAAAACUCUUUGUAUCAUCAGUAUCUUCUGAAGAGCCGCAAGGCAAAACAAAAUGAAUCAAAACUUUCAACAACGGAUCUCUUGGUUCUG
RNAcentral lists this unclassified non-coding RNA (260 nucleotides) under fungal sp. RNAcentral's name for it is "partial internal transcribed spacer region". The stretch from base 1 to 46 matches the Rfam family "Eukaryotic small subunit ribosomal RNA", at positions 1786 to 1831 of the family's 1831-position model. The record is from RNAcentral. Lineage: Eukaryota; Fungi.